Molecule: long non-coding RNA, 1013 nt
Filed under: Phasianus colchicus (ring-necked pheasant)
Lineage: Eukaryota; Metazoa; Chordata; Aves; Galliformes; Phasianidae
Description: lncRNA (ENSPCLG00000021565.1)
Source: RNAcentral
GUUAACUAGCAGUAAAAUUUAGUACUAAGAAAAUGUUAGUAGAGUAAAAAAUUUACAAAGAUAACAAAAAGAAAAAUAGUUGUCUUUAAGGUGGAUGAUAGUAGAGGCAGAGAUAACCCAGUCUUUCAGGAGUGGAAGAUGAAGGAGAGAAGGAUGUAUUUUGCACUGACAAAUGAUGGUUAUUUUCCAUUUCUGUCCCAUUUAGUGCAGUUGAGAAGCAGGGAGGGCAUGUCAUACCAUGAACCAUAAGAGGGUGAUGUAUCUGCCAGGACUCACAAUGGACAAAAGUCUGCAAUAUGUCUGUACUUCUUUUGUGAAAAGAAAUAUUGUAGGGAAUAGUUUCUAUUUACAGUACACUUAACGAUGAUCUAAUCUGGAUGUCUGGUGUUUGAGCUAGUUAGGAACCAAAACGCAUGCUUCCUACAGUGAGAAAAAUCAAACAGUCCAUAUGAAAGCAAUGAACACUACCUCUGAGGAAAACAGCAUUACUCCACACGUCUGCUCCGAGUUCACGGCCCUUGGCAACCAUCGUCAUCAUCUACUCCAGUUCUCCAUGUUUUGCUGGCAGUACCACCCCUCUUGCUUUGUUCAUAAACCACCAUCGGUAAUUAAGAAGUUCAAUUUACUUGCUCAUGUUUGUGACUCCUCCUCAGUUUGUCAGAUCUACAGAGACCAGACUGAUCAGUAUGAUCUUUUUAUGAUUUUGAUAGCUGGCACUCCCAGUAAUGGAGGAAAUGUUGGUGCAAUGCUGAAAGGCAGAUGAAAGUUAUUAAUCUCAGGUAAAUGCCAAAAACUGGCAGACUGUGGUGAACUGGGAGAAGCAAUGCCCACAGGCGACACAAUUGUUUCUAUCUGAUUUAUGUGAAAAUUUAUGCUGGAUAUUCAUCUGCCUGGGGUGAAAAGACUUGCAGCACUUUUACGCAUCCUCUUCUCAGAUAACUUAGUUGCUGAAGUAGCUGUCCUAGUAAUUUUAGCUUUCACCAUGCUGGUAUGCUUUUUUUUUUUUUGUACAC